AUUGAACGCUGGCGGCAGGCUUAACACAUGCAAGUCGAGCGGGGUGAUGGUGCUUGCACUAUCACUUAGCGGCGGACGGGUGAGUAAUGCUUAGGAAUCUGCCUAUUAGUGGGGGACAACAUCUCGAAAGGGAUGCUAAUACCGCAUACGUCCUACGGGAGAAAGCAGGGGAUCACUUGUGACCUUGCGCUAAUAGAUGAGCCUAAGUCGGAUUAGCUAGUUGGUGGGGUAAAGGCCCACCAAGGCGACGAUCUGUAGCGGGUCUGAGAGGCUGAUCCGCCAGACUGAGACUAAGACACGGCCCAGACUCCUACGGGGGGCAGCAGUGGGGAAUAUUGGACAAUGGGGGGAACCCUGAACCAGCCAUGCCGCGUGUGUGACGAAGGCCUUAUGGUUGUAAAGCACUUUAAGCGAGGAGGAGGCUCUUUUGGUUAAUACCCAAGAUGAGUGGACGUUACUCGCAGAAUAAGCACCGGCUAACUCUGUGCCAGCCGCCGCCGUAA
This 503-nucleotide ribosomal RNA is filed under the name uncultured bacterium. RNAcentral describes it as "partial 16S ribosomal RNA". It matches the Rfam family "Bacterial small subunit ribosomal RNA", at positions 30 to 523 of the family's 1533-position model. The record is from RNAcentral.